This 762-nucleotide ribosomal RNA is filed under the name Pseudomonas aeruginosa. RNAcentral describes it as "bacterial SSU rRNA". It matches the Rfam family "Bacterial small subunit ribosomal RNA", at positions 88 to 851 of the family's 1533-position model. The record is from RNAcentral. Lineage: Bacteria; Pseudomonadati; Pseudomonadota; Gammaproteobacteria; Pseudomonadales; Pseudomonadaceae.
GGAUUCAGCGGCGGACGGGUGAGUAAUGCCUAGGAAUCUGCCUGGUAGUGGGGGAUAACGUCCGGAAACGGGCGCUAAUACCGCAUACGUCCUGAGGGAGAAAGUGGGGGAUCUUCGGACCUCACGCUAUCAGAUGAGCCUAGGUCGGAUUAGCUAGUUGGUGGGGUAAAGGCCUACCAAGGCGACGAUCCGUAACUGGUCUGAGAGGAUGAUCAGUCACACUGGAACUGAGACACGGUCCAGACUCCUACGGGAGGCAGCAGUGGGGAAUAUUGGACAAUGGGCGAAAGCCUGAUCCAGCCAUGCCGCGUGUGUGAAGAAGGUCUUCGGAUUGUAAAGCACUUUAAGUUGGGAGGAAGGGCAGUAAGUUAAUACCUUGCUGUUUUGACGUUACCAACAGAAUAAGCACCGGCUAACUUCGUGCCAGCAGCCGCGGUAAUACGAAGGGUGCAAGCGUUAAUCGGAAUUACUGGGCGUAAAGCGCGCGUAGGUGGUUCAGCAAGUUGGAUGUGAAAUCCCCGGGCUCAACCUGGGAACUGCAUCCAAAACUACUGAGCUAGAGUACGGUAGAGGGUGGUGGAAUUUCCUGUGUAGCGGUGAAAUGCGUAGAUAUAGGAUGGAACACCAGUGACGAAUGCGACCACCUGGACUGAUACUGACACUGAUGUGCGAAAGCGUGGGGAGCAAACAGAUUAGAUACCCUGGUAGUCCACGCCGUAACGAUGUCGACUAGCCGUUGGAUCCUUGGAAUCUUAUGCGCAG